GUCUUGGUAGCUCAGAUGGCAGAGCACUGGGCUUGUGAUCCAGUAGUCGUGAGUUCAAUGCUCACCUAAGGCA
Molecule: non-coding RNA, 73 nt
Organism: Cydia strobilella
Lineage: Eukaryota; Metazoa; Arthropoda; Insecta; Lepidoptera; Tortricidae
Source: the annotation of a RefSeq genome assembly